Molecule: ribosomal RNA, 253 nt
Filed under: uncultured microorganism
Description: partial 16S ribosomal RNA
Rfam family: Bacterial small subunit ribosomal RNA
Source: RNAcentral
UACGGAGGGUGCAAGCGUUAAUCGGAAUUACUGGGCGUAAAGCGUACGUAGGCGGCUUGUUAAGCAAGAUGUGAAAUCCCCGGGCUCAACCUGGGAAUGGCAUUUUGAACUGGCAGGCUCGAGUGCUGAAGAGGGUGGUAGAAUUUCCAGUGUAGCGGUGAAAUGCGUAGAUAUUGGAAGGAAUACCGGUGGCGAAGGCGGCCACCUGGUCAGAAACUGACGCUGAGGUACGAAAGCGUGGGGAGCAAACAGG